RNAcentral lists this ribosomal RNA (460 nucleotides) under uncultured bacterium. RNAcentral's name for it is "partial 16S ribosomal RNA". It matches the Rfam family "Bacterial small subunit ribosomal RNA", at positions 338 to 795 of the family's 1533-position model. The record is from RNAcentral.
CCUACGGGUGUCAGCAGUGAGGAAUCUUUGUCAAUGGACGCAAGUCUGAACCAGCCAUGCAGCGUGCAGGAAGACUGCCCUAUGGGUUGUAAACUGCUUUUAUAUGAGGAUAAACUGUUCCACGCUUGGGUGUCUGUAUGUACCGUAUGAAUAAGGAUCGGCUAACUCCGUGCCAGCAGCCGCGGUAAUACGGAGGAUUCAAGCUUUAUCCGGAUUUAUUGGGUUUAAAGGGUGCGUAGGUGGUUGGUUAAGUUAGUUGUGAAAUUUCGCGGCUCAACUUUGAAAUUGCCGCUGAACCUGGUAGUCUUGAGUACAGUAGAGGUAGGCGGAAUGUGUGGUGGAGCGGUGAAAUGCUUAGAGAUCACGAAGAACUCCGAUUGCGAAGGCAGUUCACUGAACUGCAACUGACACUGAGGCUCGAAAGUGUGGGGAGCAAACAGGAUUAGAUACCCCUGUAGUC